This 499-nucleotide ribosomal RNA is filed under the name uncultured bacterium. RNAcentral's name for it is "bacterial SSU rRNA". It matches the Rfam family "Bacterial small subunit ribosomal RNA", at positions 355 to 847 of the family's 1533-position model. The record is from RNAcentral.
UGGGGAAUUUUGGACAAUGGGCGCAAGCCUGAUCCAGCAAUGCCGCGUGCAGGAUGAAGGCCUUCGGGUUGUAAACUGCUUUUGUACAGAACGAAAAGUCUUGGGUUAAUACCCUGGGACCAUGACGGUACUGUAAGAAUAAGCACCGGCUAACUACGUGCCAGCAGCCGCGGUAAUACGUAGGGUGCAAGCGUUAAUCGGAAUUACUGGGCGUAAAGCGUGCGCAGGCGGUUAUGUAAGACAGAGGUGAAAUCCCCGGGCUCAACCUGGGAACGGCCUUUGUGACUGCAUAGCUAGAGUACGGUAGAGGGGGAUGGAAUUCCGCGUGUAGCAGUGAAAUGCGUAGAUAUGCGGAGGAACACCGAUGGCGAAGGCAAUCCCCUGGACCUGUACUGACGCUCAUGCACGAAAGCGUGGGGAGCAAACAGGAUUAGAUACCCUGGUAGUCCACGCCCUAAACGAUGUCAACUGGUUGUUGGGUCUUAACUGACUCAGUAAC